Molecule: ribosomal RNA, 227 nt
Filed under: uncultured bacterium
Lineage: Bacteria
Description: partial 16S ribosomal RNA
Rfam family: Bacterial small subunit ribosomal RNA
Source: RNAcentral
UACGAAGGGGGGCUAGCGUUGUUCGGAAUUACUGGGCGUAAAGCGCACGUAGGCGGAUAUUUAAGUCAGGGGGUGAAAUCCCAGAGCUCAACUCUGGAACUGCCUUUGAUACUGGGUAUCUUGAGUAUGGAAGAGGUAAGUGGAAUUGCGAGUGUAGAGGUGAAAUUCGUAGAUAUUCGCAGGAACACCAGUGGCGAAGGCGGCUUACUGGUCCAUAACUGACGCUG